CCUACGGGACGCAGCAGUGGGGAAUAUUGCACAAUGGGGGAAACCCUGAUGCAGCGACGCCGCGUGAGUGAAGAAGUAUUUCGGUAUGUAAAGCUCUAUCAGCAGGGAAGAUAAUGACGGUACCUGACUAAUAAGCCCCGGCUAACUACGUGCCAGCAGCCGCGGUAAUACGUAGGGGGCAAGCGUUAUCCGGAUUUACUGGGCGUAAAGGGAGCGUAGGCGGCAGGGCAAGUCAGAUGUGAAAACCCGUGGCUCAACU
Molecule: ribosomal RNA, 259 nt
Filed under: uncultured bacterium
Lineage: Bacteria
Description: partial 16S ribosomal RNA
Rfam family: Bacterial small subunit ribosomal RNA
Source: RNAcentral